UAAUCCAGGAAGAGGAGCGGCAAUGUGAAUUUAAGAUUCUCAAGUUCCAACAAGCAGAGGUUAUUAAAGCUGCAGCCGUCCUGAAGAUCAACUGCACCAACAUUUAUUCACCUCAUAUAAACCUCAUGAUCACAGAAAGACUUCCACUGUUUUAUAUCCACACAUAUUUAAAUAUACACCACAUAUAAACACACACUCUCUCUUUCUCUCUCUCUGGCUUUUUGACCUCUGAAGGAGCGUUAAUUUUUCUGUUUUUCCUCCUUUGUGUUGUUUGUUUUGUGUUUGUUGUUCAUUCUCUUUUUACCCUUCUCCUAAUCCUUUCUCAAAUCUGUGUCACUUCUUUCUCUGCCGUCCAGAAAGGUGAUCUUCUCCAGUGUACCCAGCUGAGCCAUGUGGUCUCUCACUGAUGUCAGGUCCAGAUGAUCCUAAACAAGAGGAGCUCAAUCUGGUGUGAUCUGAGGGUUGAUGACUUUGACUGUCAUUGAUGUCACCUCUGAAAAUAGGAAAUGUCUGCACUGUAAGAGGGAGGGCCGUCUGAUUAGAGCCUGUCCAUUUAGAGGUGAAGCUGCCUUCUUUCUUUUUCUUUCCUCUCUUUCUUCUUUGCAGUGUUGCUGUGCAGUCUCUUGCAGCUGAGACUGUGGGCUCAAUUUUCGUGCGCGCUGGUGAGGCGGCGGAGGGCGGCGAGCCCCGCGCAGUUGUAUUUUCGUCUGGCGGAGCCCAGCGUAAGGCCAGUUUGGUAUUUUCGUGGACUGAGCCGCACGGAGGCGAGCCGAGAUCCGCCAAGCUGGGCGUGGUGGCGUGGCAGGGGGAGGUGUCGACAGAAUCAGCAGGCGCAGUGACAUUUUCGUGCUCGCCACCGGCGUGUAAAGUGCGCUGAAAGCUCGCCGAUUCAAACCUGGUCAGCUUUCUGCGCAUGGCAGAGCGAAGCUGGUCUAGUAGUAUUUUGGUAGACUGGCGGCGUAUCGGCAUACGUCACCGAUGCCUCACCGGCAGGUUUCCACAGUGUCAGGCACAUUUCAGUGCAAUAAAUAAUCAUCAACAACUAUUAAUCUGAGUCAGCACAUUCAUUUAGAUCUAUAUAAAUAUAUUCUGAUCUAUAUGUGAUCUGAUGAGCGCGUUUGGCACGCGUUUGGACACACAACCUGACCGAAUCAAUACAGCUGAAACCGCAUCAAAUUAAAUUAAAUAUCUAGUAAAUAAACAAACAUGAUGAAGUGAACAAGAUAUUUAAUUCGUCUCCCUCCUUUUCUUUCUUCCUCUUCCUCUUAUUUCUCGCACAGCUCAACCUGGACACGUCUCCGUGUCCUCUUCUCGUCCUGCUGCUGCGGCUGAACAGAUGAUUUGUUUCAGUGCUCAGAUGCGUGAUCUACUUUAAGCCGACAUACGGAUAUUAUAAUAUUCAGUUUUGUGGGCCAAAUUUAUUUUAUAUGCCAACAUCUAUGAAAGAAAGAGCCAGGCCAUGGAGCGCGAUGCGUCAUUUAUGCACAGAUGGUUCCAAUUUUAAUGCCAUUUUUGGAGUUUCUGUUGUGAUCUGUGCGCUCAACCCACCUUUGUCACGUGAGGUUUGAAUAUAUGCAACUUUAUGUGUGUCUUUAUUUGUGGAAAAGGGUGUUUGUCUUACCAGUGGGUCCAACAUUACACACACCAAAUCCAUCUGUGCUCAUAUGAGAGAGUGUGGAGGACACUUGUUGAGGAGCUGCCCUCUGUCGCCAUCUUGUGGCAUUACUGUCUUACGACAUCUCUUGAUCUCUUUGACUACAUGAAAAUAGUAAUACGCCUCGCCUGUGGCGGAUUUAAAGGCAAGGAGAGGAGCCUAUGUGAUUGGUGAAAACAGGUCUCGGCUGUGUCAAACACACUACACGCCCUCUCUCCUCCCCGUCUACGACUUAUGCUGCUGGGAGGAGCUGAGUUAGGGAGGGGGGAUACUUACGCCGGGCUGCGCGGCUCACCAAAAUACCAAAAUGUGCUUGGGAACGCCUUGUCAGCGCGGCGGAUCUGACUGACGCUGCGCUUGCGGCACGUCUCCGGCGAGGCACGAAAAUAGAGCCCUGUGUCAUGGCCUUUGUGUUGUUCCACAGAGCAGAGAGAACAGAUAGACUGUUGAUCAGUGCGGCAGAAGAUCUUCAUCACCUCAUCAUGACGAGAGCAGAUGUUCUCCUGGAGCUUCUUGGAGGGCUCCACCAGCUUGUGUUUCUUAAAUGGGGCCACUUCAAAAUGAGGCUGGAGGUGAAUCUGGCAGUAAGAAACCAGACAUUGCAGACAGGACUUGACAGCUUUCAGUUUUCUCUCACUGCAGAAAUCACAGGCCACAUCUUCAGGUCCAGCAUCAGAGGGAUCAUCAGGAGCAGCUUGGAGUCCGCUCUUCUUCAGUUCCUCCACUAAACCUGCUAACAGGGUGCUUUUCAUCAGGACAGGCCUCGGUGUGAAGGGCUGUCUGCACUGAGGACAGCUGUAGAUCUUCUUCUCAUCCUCUUUAUCCCAGUAGGUUUGAAUACAGCUCAUGCAGAAGCUGUGUCCACAGGUAACAGUCACCGGAUCCUUCAGUAGAUCCAAACAGAUGAAACAAGAGAAAGAUUCCCGGUCCAGACCAACUCCUUUUUGCGCCAUUUCAACACUCACUGUCAACAACGACUGACUGAAUGAGUUUCAUUUCCUCAGAAGUCAAACUAGUCUGAGCUCUGAUCUCAACAACAUGUGUGAGUCAGCAGGAUCAGCUCAGCACCUGUGGUUACACCCAAACUCAGACUGUAGAUCUGAAGGGGAGGGAACAAGGAAGUGUGAGCUGUGUGAGAGACGAGGGAGGGGAAAUCCAGUUUUUUUACAAUCCAGUAAGAGGAGCGGCGAUGUGAACUUUAGACUCUCAAACUCCAACAAGCAGAGGUGAUUAAAGCUGCAGCCGUCCUGAAGAUCAACUGCACCAACAUUUAUUCACCUCAUAUAAACCUCAUGAUCACAGAAAGACUUCCACUCUUUUAUAUCCACACAUAUUUAAAGAUACACCACAUAUAAACACACUCUCUCUCUUCUCUCUCUCUCUCUUUUGACCUCUGAGGGAGCAUUAGUUUUCUAACUCUUUUUCUUUCUUUAUGUGUUGUUUGGUUUGUGCUCUUUGUUUAUUCUCCGUUUACCCAUCUCCUAAUCAUUUCUCAAAUCUGUGUCUCCUCCUUCUCUGCCGUCCAGAAAGGUGAUCUUCUCCAGUGUACCCAGCUGAGCCAUGUGGUCUCUCACUGAUGUCAGGUCCAGAUGAUCCUAAACAAGAGGAAGGAGGAGCUCAAUCUGGUGUGAUCUGAGGGUUGAUGACUUUGACUGUCAUUGAUGUCACCUCUGAAAAUAGGAAAUGUCUGCACUGUAAGAGGGAGGGCCGUCUGAUUAGAGCCUGUCCAAUUAAAGGUGAAGCUGCCUUCUUUCUUUUUCUUUCCUCUUUUUAUCUUUUUGAUACCCUGAUUUUUGCUUUUUGGGCAGCAAGAUGUCUAACUUCCAGGUCAUUCAGUCUGGUCUCACUCACUGACAUUACACUUGUCGUCAGUCGCUGUCGGGUGGACUAAAUCAUAAAGAAAAAGAUUCGAGGUGCUUUCAGUGACUCAGUUUGAUGAUUUUUAUUUUUUUCACCCACACAAUCAAAAACUCAUAAUUGAAAAGCUCAUAACAAGUUGAUCAACCAAAAGUCUCAUUAUAGAUGUCUUUACAAACAGACUGAUCCAACAGAAGCAGACAGAAAAAUCCAUCAAUGACAUUCAUACAAAUAUUCAGCAAACAGAGAAAGCACAGAUCAUUGAAAGUGUUUUUGGGGCAGACUGGAAAGACUUUAGACUGUUGGAUUUGG
This 3823-nucleotide long non-coding RNA is filed under the name Xyrichtys novacula (pearly razorfish). Lineage: Eukaryota; Metazoa; Chordata; Actinopteri; Labriformes; Labridae. The record is from RNAcentral.